RNAcentral lists this long non-coding RNA (296 nucleotides) under Elaeis guineensis (African oil palm). Its description in RNAcentral is "long non-coding RNA (EGUI_LNC074556)". Lineage: Eukaryota; Viridiplantae; Streptophyta; Magnoliopsida; Arecales; Arecaceae. The record is from RNAcentral.
UUAGGUUUUUGAAACAACAGGAAGAAAGAGGCCAUUGGUACAAUUCAUAGGCUAGUAUUGAUUGCUAUUCAGAUAGUUAAUAAAGUUAAGUUUCUUUGGUCUAUAACUCAGAGCAUUUUUUAUCUUGUCCUGCAUAAAUUUGCCAUCAUGCACAGCACCCCUCAUCAUUUCUCCAUUUGCUGAUUUUCCUUGCCACAGGCCACACUGUCCACAUAAGAGAAAUUCUUGGAUAGACUUAGUCUACCAUAUAUAGAUAAAGCCAAUUAAAAGAUGCCACAACAGCAUAUAGCGAUAUG